This 315-nucleotide long non-coding RNA is filed under the name Homo sapiens (human). Its description in RNAcentral is "non-protein coding lnc-ANKRD1-1:4". The record is from RNAcentral. Lineage: Eukaryota; Metazoa; Chordata; Mammalia; Primates; Hominidae.
AGUCUGGUCUUGUGGGGUUUAGGGGCUGGAAAUGGGGAAGAGCUAGAGCACAGCAUUUAGGAUUGAGUUUUAUACUAUUCGGUACUCCAAUUAUGAAAACAACGAUGAUGAUGCUUCUGACCUGCCCUGUUGGGCUGUUUCUUCCCCAUCCUUUUGGUGAGUAGCUGUGCUGUGUCAUUCUCAUGCUCCCCUGUCCUUCUGGUGAUGACGAGGCCCAUGUUGGAACCUACAGAAGUGAGAAGUGAAGACUGUGACCCUGGAGGGUGUUGCACUGGGAAAACUAGCUGGUAUAUUGGGAAUGUGAGCUAUGAGUUU